RNAcentral lists this ribosomal RNA (2932 nucleotides) under Bacillus cereus. RNAcentral describes it as "bacterial LSU rRNA". It matches the Rfam family "Bacterial large subunit ribosomal RNA". Lineage: Bacteria; Bacillati; Bacillota; Bacilli; Caryophanales; Bacillaceae. The record is from RNAcentral.
UUUGGUUAAGUUAGAAAGGGCGCACGGUGGAUGCCUUGACACUAGGAGUCGAUGAAGGACGGGACUAACGCCGAUAUGCUUCGGGGAGCUGUAAGUAAGCUUUGAUCCGAAGAUUUCCGAAUGGGGAAACCCACCAUACGUAAUGGUAUGGUAUCCUUAUCUGAAUACAUAGGGUAAGGAAGACAGACCCAGGGAACUGAAACAUCUAAGUACCUGGAGGAAGAGAAAGCAAAUGCGAUUUCCUGAGUAGCGGCGAGCGAAACGGAACAUAGCCCAAACCAAGAGGCUUGCCUCUUGGGGUUGUAGGACAUUCUAUACGGAGUUACAAAGGAACGAGGUAGACGAAGCGACCUGGAAAGGUCCGUCGUAGAGGGUAACAACCCCGUAGUCGAAACUUCGUUCUCUCUUGAAUGUAUCCUGAGUACGGCGGAACACGUGAAAUUCCGUCGGAAUCUGGGAGGACCAUCUCCCAAGGCUAAAUACUCCCUAGUGAUCGAUAGUGAACCAGUACCGUGAGGGAAAGGUGAAAAGCACCCCGGAAGGGGAGUGAAAGAGAUCCUGAAACCGUGUGCCUACAAAUAGUCAGAGCCCGUUAACGGGUGAUGGCGUGCCUUUUGUAGAAUGAACCGGCGAGUUACGAUCCCGUGCGAGGUUAAGCUGAAGAGGCGGAGCCGCAGCGAAAGCGAGUCUGAAUAGGGCGUUUAGUACGUGGUCGUAGACCCGAAACCAGGUGAUCUACCCAUGUCCAGGGUGAAGUUCAGGUAACACUGAAUGGAGGCCCGAACCCACGCACGUUGAAAAGUGCGGGGAUGAGGUGUGGGUAGCGGAGAAAUUCCAAUCGAACCUGGAGAUAGCUGGUUCUCCCCGAAAUAGCUUUAGGGCUAGCCUUAAGUGUAAGAGUCUUGGAGGUAGAGCACUGAUUGGACUAGGGGUCCUCAUCGGAUUACCGAAUUCAGUCAAACUCCGAAUGCCAAUGACUUAUCCUUAGGAGUCAGACUGCGAGUGAUAAGAUCCGUAGUCAAAAGGGAAACAGCCCAGACCGCCAGCUAAGGUCCCAAAGUGUGUAUUAAGUGGAAAAGGAUGUGGAGUUGCUUAGACAACUAGGAUGUUGGCUUAGAAGCAGCCACCAUUUAAAGAGUGCGUAAUAGCUCACUAGUCGAGUGACUCUGCGCCGAAAAUGUACCGGGGCUAAAUACACCACCGAAGCUGCGGAUUGAUACCAAUGGUAUCAGUGGUAGGGGAGCGUUCUAAGGACAGUGAAGUCAGACCGUAAGGACUGGUGGAGUGCUUAGAAGUGAGAAUGCCGGUAUGAGUAGCGAAAGACGGGUGAGAAUCCCGUCCACCGAAUGCCUAAGGUUUCCUGAGGAAGGCUCGUCCGCUCAGGGUUAGUCAGGACCUAAGCCGAGGCCGACAGGCGUAGGCGAUGGACAACAGGUUGAUAUUCCUGUACCACCUCUUUAUCGUUUGAGCAAUGGAGGGACGCAGAAGGAUAGAAGAAGCGUGCGAUUGGUUGUGCACGUCCAAGCAGUUAGGCUGAUAAGUAGGCAAAUCCGCUUAUCGUGAAGGCUGAGCUGUGAUGGGGAAGCUCCUUAUGGAGCGAAGUCUUUGAUUCCCCGCUGCCAAGAAAAGCUUCUAGCGAGAUAAAAGGUGCCUGUACCGCAAACCGACACAGGUAGGCGAGGAGAGAAUCCUAAGGUGUGCGAGAGAACUCUGGUUAAGGAACUCGGCAAAAUGACCCCGUAACUUCGGGAGAAGGGGUGCUUUCUUAACGGAAAGCCGCAGUGAAUAGGCCCAAGCGACUGUUUAGCAAAAACACAGCUCUCUGCGAAGCCGUAAGGCGAAGUAUAGGGGGUGACACCUGCCCGGUGCUGGAAGGUUAAGGAGAGGGGUUAGCGUAAGCGAAGCUCUGAACUGAAGCCCCAGUAAACGGCGGCCGUAACUAUAACGGUCCUAAGGUAGCGAAAUUCCUUGUCGGGUAAGUUCCGACCCGCACGAAAGGUGUAACGAUUUGGGCACUGUCUCAACCAGAGACUCGGUGAAAUUAUAGUACCUGUGAAGAUGCAGGUUACCCGCGACAGGACGGAAAGACCCCGUGGAGCUUUACUGUAGCCUGAUAUUGAAUUUUGGUACAGUUUGUACAGGAUAGGCGGGAGCCAUUGAAACCGGAGCGCUAGCUUCGGUGGAGGCGCUGGUGGGAUACCGCCCUGACUGUAUUGAAAUUCUAACCUACGGGUCUUAUCGACCCGGGAGACAGUGUCAGGUGGGCAGUUUGACUGGGGCGGUCGCCUCCUAAAGUGUAACGGAGGCGCCCAAAGGUUCCCUCAGAAUGGUUGGAAAUCAUUCGUAGAGUGCAAAGGCAUAAGGGAGCUUGACUGCGAGACCUACAAGUCGAGCAGGGACGAAAGUCGGGCUUAGUGAUCCGGUGGUUCCGCAUGGAAGGGCCAUCGCUCAACGGAUAAAAGCUACCCCGGGGAUAACAGGCUUAUCUCCCCCAAGAGUCCACAUCGACGGGGAGGUUUGGCACCUCGAUGUCGGCUCAUCGCAUCCUGGGGCUGUAGUCGGUCCCAAGGGUUGGGCUGUUCGCCCAUUAAAGCGGUACGCGAGCUGGGUUCAGAACGUCGUGAGACAGUUCGGUCCCUAUCCGUCGUGGGCGUAGGAAAUUUGAGAGGAGCUGUCCUUAGUACGAGAGGACCGGGAUGGACGCACCGCUGGUGUACCAGUUGUUCUGCCAAGGGCAUAGCUGGGUAGCUAUGUGCGGAAGGGAUAAGUGCUGAAAGCAUCUAAGCAUGAAGCCCCCCUCAAGAUGAGAUUUCCCAUAGCGUAAGCUAGUAAGAUCCCUGAAAGAUGAUCAGGUUGAUAGGUUCGAGGUGGAAGCAUGGUGACAUGUGGAGCUGACGAAUACUAAUAGAUCGAGGACUUAACCAUAUAUUAU